This 253-nucleotide ribosomal RNA is filed under the name uncultured Methylomicrobium sp. Its description in RNAcentral is "partial 16S ribosomal RNA". It matches the Rfam family "Bacterial small subunit ribosomal RNA", at positions 524 to 776 of the family's 1533-position model. Lineage: Bacteria; Pseudomonadati; Pseudomonadota; Gammaproteobacteria; Methylococcales; Methylococcaceae. The record is from RNAcentral.
UACGGAGGGUGCAAGCGUUAAUCGGAAUUACUGGGCGUAAAGCGUGCGUAGGCGGCUCGUUAAGUCAGAUGUGAAAGCCCUGGGCUCAACCUGGGAACGGCAUUUGAAACUGGCGAGCUAGAGUUUAGGAGAGGAGAGUGGAAUUUCAGGUGUAGCGGUGAAAUGCGUAGAGAUCUGAAGGAACACCAGUGGCGAAGGCGACUCUCUGGCCUAAAACUGACGCUGAGGUACGAAAGCGUGGGUAGCAAACAGG